RNAcentral lists this ribosomal RNA (253 nucleotides) under uncultured bacterium. RNAcentral's name for it is "partial 16S ribosomal RNA". It matches the Rfam family "Bacterial small subunit ribosomal RNA", at positions 524 to 776 of the family's 1533-position model. The record is from RNAcentral.
UACGAAGGGGGCUAGCGUUGUUCGGAAUAACUGGGCGUAAAGCGCACGUAGGCGGAUUGUUAAGUCAGAGGUGAAAUCCCGGGGCUCAACCCCGGAACUGCCUUUGAUACUGGCAAUCUUGAGUCCGAGAGAGGUGAGUGGAAUUCCGAGUGUAGAGGUGAAAUUCGUAGAUAUUCGGAGGAACACCAGUGGCGAAGGCGGCUCACUGGCUCGGUACUGACGCUGAGGUGCGAAAGUGUGGGGAGCAAACAGG